GAUGAAGAACGUAGCAAAAUGCGAUAAGUAAUGUGAAUUGCAGAAUUCAGUGAAUCAUCGAAUCUUUGAACGCACAUUGCGCCCGCUGGUAUUCCGGCGGGCAUGCCUGUUCGAGCGUCAUUUCAACCCUCAAGCCCCCGGGUUUGGUGUUGGGGAUCGGCUCUGCCCUUCUGGGCGGUGCCGCCCCCGAAAUACAUUGGCGGUCUCGCUGCAGCCUCCAUUGCGUAGUAGCUAACACCUCGCAACUGGAACGCGGCGCGGCCAUGCCGUAAAACCCCAACGUCUGAAUGUUGACCUCGGAUCAGGUAGGAAUACCCGCUGAACUUAAGAAUAUCAAUAAGCGGAGGA
Molecule: unclassified non-coding RNA, 348 nt
Filed under: soil metagenome
Description: partial contains 5.8S ribosomal RNA, internal transcribed spacer 2, and large subunit ribosomal RNA
Rfam family: 5.8S ribosomal RNA (bases 1-120)
Source: RNAcentral